UGCCAGCCGCCGCGGUAAUACGGAGGGUCCAAGCGUUAAUCGGAAUUACUGGGCGUAAAGCGCGCGUAGGCGGUUUGUCAAGUUGGAUGUGAAAUCCCUGGGCUCAACCUAGGAACUGCAUUCAAAACUUAUAGACUAGAGUACGAUAGAGGAGAGUAGAAUUCCUGGUGUAGCGGUGAAAUGCGUAGAUAUCAGGAGGAAUACCAAUGGCGAAGGCAACUCUCUGGAUCGACACUGACGCUGAGGUGCGAAAGCGUGGGUAGCAAACAGGAUUAGAUA
RNAcentral lists this ribosomal RNA (279 nucleotides) under uncultured bacterium. RNAcentral describes it as "partial 16S ribosomal RNA". It matches the Rfam family "Bacterial small subunit ribosomal RNA", at positions 506 to 784 of the family's 1533-position model. The record is from RNAcentral.